UAUGUGUAAGCGGUAGCGGAGCGUUCCGUAAGCCUGCGAAGCGGUACCUGUGAGGGGCCGUGGAGGUAUCGGAAGUGCGAAUGAUGACAUGAGUAGCGACAAAAAGUGUGAGAGACACUUUCGCCGAAAUUCCAAGGGUUCCUGCGCAAUGCUAAUCAGCGCAGGGUUAGUCGGCCCCUAAGGUGAGGCAGAAAUGCGUAGCCGAUGGGAAUCACGUUAAUAUUCGUGAACCAGAUGGUAGUGACGGAUCGCGCAGGUUCGUAUCCCCUUAUUGGAUUGGGGGUGCGAUGAGCCGGUUCCUGGAAAUAGCUCCAUCGAUAUUGACCGUACCCUAAACCGACACAGGUGGACUGGUAGAGUAUACCAAGGCGCUUGAGAGAACUAUACUGAAGGAACUCGGCAAAUUGCAUGCGUAACUUCGGGAUAAGCAUGACUUCUAUCGGGGCAACCCUUUAGGAGUGGCACAAAAGAGGGGGUGGCGACUGUUUACUAAAAACACAGGGCUCUGCGAAGAUGUAAAUCGACGUAUAGGGUCUGACGCCUGCCCGGUGCCGGAAGGUUAAAUGGAGAGGUGCAAGCUUUGAAAUGAAGCCCCGGUAAACGGCGGCCGUAACGGUAACGGUCCUAAGGUAGCGAAAUUCCUUGUCGGGUAAGUUCCGACCUGCACGAAUGGCGUAACGACUUCCCCACUGUCUCCAGUAUAGACUCAGCGAAAUUGAAUUCCCCGUGAAGAUGCGGGGUUCCUGCGGUCAGACGGAAAGACCCCAUGCACCUUUACUAUAGCUUUACGCUGGCAUUUGUGUCGGCAUGUGCAGGAUAGGUGGUAGGCUUUGAAGCAGGGACGCUAGUUCUUGUGGAGCCGCAAGAUGAGAUACACCCUUAUCGUCAUAGGUGUCUAACCGCGGCAUAACAGUGUCCGGGACAGCGUAUGGUGGGUAGUUUGACUGGGGCGGUCGCCUCCCAAAGAGUAACGGAGGCGCGCGAUGGUGGGCUCAGACCGGUCGGAAAUCGGUCGCUGAGUGCAAUGGCAUAAGCCUGCCUGACUGCGAGACUGACAAGUCGAGCAGAGACGAAAGUCGGUCAUAGUGAUCCGGUGGUCCCGCGUGGAAGGGCCAUCGCUCAACGAAUAAAAGGUACGCUGGGGAUAACAGGCUGAUGAUGCCCAAGAGUCCAUAUCGACGGCAUCGUUUGGCACCUCGAUGUCGGCUCAUCACAUCCUGGGGCUGGAGCAGGUCCC
Molecule: ribosomal RNA, 1237 nt
Filed under: metagenome
Description: bacterial LSU rRNA
Rfam family: Bacterial large subunit ribosomal RNA
Source: RNAcentral